RNAcentral lists this unclassified non-coding RNA (298 nucleotides) under Hevea brasiliensis (rubber tree). Lineage: Eukaryota; Viridiplantae; Streptophyta; Magnoliopsida; Malpighiales; Euphorbiaceae. The record is from RNAcentral.
UCCACCCAAUUGUGAUGGGGUUUUUAUUCUUCUACCCCUUGUGGGCUGGGUAUUUGGGUUGGCAAUGGAGGCGAGUCAGGACCAUACAGAAUGAGAUCAAUGAGCUGAAGAAGCAAGUCAAACCUACCCCUGUUACACCUGAAGGGACACCUGUGGAAGCAGCACCGUCUCCUGUUGAAAUCAAAAUUCAGCAACUCACUGAGGAGAGGAAGGAGUUGAUAAAAGGGUCAUACAGGGACAGGCACUUCAAUGUAGGAUCAAUACUGCUAGGAUUUGGAGUUUUUGAAUCUAUUGGUGG